UCACCAAAAAUAUAUAACAUUAAAAAGAAAGAAAUUUUUUUCUCGUAUUCAUCACAAAAAAAUAUAUUUUUGUACAAAAAAUAUAUAUAGCAUUAAAAAAAAUCCAACAAGCUCAUCAAAAAAUAUAUAAAAUUAAAAAAAAAAAAGAAUCUAUUUUUUUCUCAUAUUCAUCACAAAUAACAUACUUUUAUAAAAAAAUCGUAAUUUUAUUAAGAAACAAAUUUUUUUUAAGAACCCUAAAAUCGAGCCAAAGAAACAUAUUCUUUAGAGUCAAAAUCAGCCCCAAAUCAUUCAUUUUUUGAACAAAUUGACAUGGAGAUAUGAUAGAUACUUCAAUCACAAUUAAAAUGCCUCAAAUAUUAUGAAGAUCAAUUCACUAUUGAGAUAGUUCUUCAAAAAAUGGCGGAUAUUUCAUUUCACAAAAUUUUCAAUAGAAAAACGCAACAAAAAAAUCCAUAUAAAUAAAUGUACUCAAUGAUAAAUCAACAUACCUGACGUAUUCGAUUUAUGAAGCCUUGAUGAUCAAAAUUAACUGAUCAAUUCAAUAAAAACGAUCAAUACGUCGAUCAAAAAUCAAAGUGUUUUUCAUUGGAUACAAUUCUUGGAGCAGCAACAUUUUCGGUAGAAAUCAUCCUCCAAAAUUCAUCAUUUUCAACAAAUCAAAAUAGGAAAAAGUUUAAGGCUUUAGUAAUGAAUCAAAGCCCUACCUUUCCAUACAUAUUUAUGGGGUAUUGAAGCUCUGAUUGACAAAAUGGCGGAAAUUUCGCAGUUUCAAAAAUCCGCCAUUUCAAUCCACCAAAAACCGUUCUUCAUCGCUUUUUUAUUCAAUAAACAAUUAUUUGUAGAAAAUUUCAAUUGCAUAAGUGUAAUAAUUCACCAAAAAAAAUAAAAAAUAGUCAAAAAAUUGAAUAAAAAAAG
Molecule: long non-coding RNA, 918 nt
Filed under: Amborella trichopoda
Lineage: Eukaryota; Viridiplantae; Streptophyta; Magnoliopsida; Amborellales; Amborellaceae
Description: long non-coding RNA (ATRI_LNC000207)
Source: RNAcentral